RNAcentral lists this ribosomal RNA (1608 nucleotides) under Salmonella enterica. Its description in RNAcentral is "partial 23S ribosomal RNA". It matches the Rfam family "Bacterial large subunit ribosomal RNA", at positions 1213 to 2802 of the family's 2925-position model. Lineage: Bacteria; Pseudomonadati; Pseudomonadota; Gammaproteobacteria; Enterobacterales; Enterobacteriaceae. The record is from RNAcentral.
GCUGAUGCGUUGUUGGGUAGGGGAGCGUUCUGUAAGCCUGUGAAGGUGGCCUGUGAGGGUUGCUGGAGGUAUCAGAAGUGCGAAUGCUGACAUAAGUAACGAUAAAGCGGGUGAAAAGCCCGCUCGCCGGAAGACCAAGGGUUCCUGUCCAACGUUAAUCGGGGCAGGGUGAGUCGACCCCUAAGGCGAGGCCGAAAGGCGUAGUCGAUGGGAAACGGGUUAAUAUUCCCGUACUUGGUGUUACUGCGAAGGGGGGACGGAGAAGGCUAUGUUGGCCGGGCGACGGUUGUCCCGGUUUAAGCGUGUAGGUGUGUGUUCCAGGUAAAUCCGGUUCACUUUAACACUGAGGCGUGAUGACGAGGCACUACGGUGCUGAAGCAACAAAUGCCCUGCUUCCAGGAAAAGCCUCUAAGCAUCAGGUAACAUCAAAUCGUACCCCAAACCGACACAGGUGGUCAGGUAGAGAAUACCAAGGCGCUUGAGAGAACUCGGGUGAAGGAACUAGGCAAAAUGGUGCCGUAACUUCGGGAGAAGGCACGCUGACACGUAGGUGAAGUGAUUUACUCAUGGAGCUGAAGUCAGUCGAAGAUACCAGCUGGCUGCAACUGUUUAUUAAAAACACAGCACUGUGCAAACACGAAAGUGGACGUAUACGGUGUGACGCCUGCCCGGUGCCGGAAGGUUAAUUGAUGGGGUCAGCGCAAGCGAAGCUCCUGAUCGAAGCCCCGGUAAACGGCGGCCGUAACUAUAACGGUCCUAAGGUAGCGAAAUUCCUUGUCGGGUAAGUUCCGACCUGCACGAAUGGCGUAAUGAUGGCCAGGCUGUCUCCACCCGAGACUCAGUGAAAUUGAACUCGCUGUGAAGAUGCAGUGUACCCGCGGCAAGACGGAAAGACCCCGUGAACCUUUACUAUAGCUUGACACUGAACAUUGAGCCUUGAUGUGUAGGAUAGGUGGGAGGCUUUGAAGCGUGGACGCCAGUCUGCGUGGAGCCGACCUUGAAAUACCACCCUUUAAUGUUUGAUGUUCUAACGUGGACCCGUAAUCCGGGUUGCGGACAGUGUCUGGUGGGUAGUUUGACUGGGGCGGUCUCCUCCUAAAGAGUAACGGAGGAGCACGAAGGUUGGCUAAUCCUGGUCGGACAUCAGGAGGUUAGUGCAAUGGCAUAAGCCAGCUUGACUGCGAGCGUGACGGCGCGAGCAGGUGCGAAAGCAGGUCAUAGUGAUCCGGUGGUUCUGAAUGGAAGGGCCAUCGCUCAACGGAUAAAAGGUACUCCGGGGAUAACAGGCUGAUACCGCCCAAGAGUUCAUAUCGACGGCGGUGUUUGGCACCUCGAUGUCGGCUCAUCACAUCCUGGGGCUGAAGUAGGUCCCAAGGGUAUGGCUGUUCGCCAUUUAAAGUGGUACGCGAGCUGGGUUUAGAACGUCGUGAGACAGUUCGGUCCCUAUCUGCCGUGGGCGCUGGAGAACUGAGGGGGGCUGCUCCUAGUACGAGAGGACCGGAGUGGACGCAUCACUGGUGUUCGGGUUGUCAUGCCAAUGGCACUGCCCGGUAGCUAAAUGCGGAAGAGAUAAGUGCUGAAAGCAUCUAAGCACGAAACUUGCCCCGA